RNAcentral lists this ribosomal RNA (520 nucleotides) under uncultured bacterium. Its description in RNAcentral is "bacterial SSU rRNA". It matches the Rfam family "Archaeal small subunit ribosomal RNA", at positions 345 to 866 of the family's 1478-position model. The record is from RNAcentral.
AACCUCCGCAAUGUGAGAAAUCGCGACGGGGGGAUCCCAAGUGCCAUUCUUAACGGGAUGGCUUUUCAUUAGUGUAAAGAGCUUUUGGAAUAAGAGCUGGGCAAGACCGGUGCCAGCCGCCGCGGUAACACCGGCAGCUCUAGUGGUAACAAUUUUUAUUGGGCCUAAAGCGUCCGUAGCCGGUUUAAUAAGUCUCUGGUGAAAUCCUGUAGCUUAACUGUGGGAAUUGCUGGAGAUACUAUUAGACUUGAGACCGGGAGAGGUUAGAGGUACUCCCAGGGUAGAGGUGAAAUUCUGUAAUCCUGGGAGGACCGCCUGUUGCGAAGGCGUCUAACUGGAACGGUUCUGACGGUGAGGGACGAAAGUUAGGGGCGCGAACCGGAUUAGAUACCCGGGUAGUCCUAACUGUAACGAUGCGGACUUGGUGUUGGGGUGGCUUUGAGCUGCUCCAGUGCCGAAGGGAAGCUGUUAAGUCCGCCGCAUGGGAAGUACGGUCGCAAGACUGAAACUUAAAGGAAUU